RNAcentral lists this ribosomal RNA (416 nucleotides) under Klebsiella pneumoniae. Its description in RNAcentral is "bacterial SSU rRNA". It matches the Rfam family "Bacterial small subunit ribosomal RNA", at positions 1128 to 1533 of the family's 1533-position model. The record is from RNAcentral. RNAcentral also lists the same sequence under 3 other names. Lineage: Bacteria; Pseudomonadati; Pseudomonadota; Gammaproteobacteria; Enterobacterales; Enterobacteriaceae.
CGGCCGGGAACUCAAAGGAGACUGCCAGUGAUAAACUGGAGGAAGGUGGGGAUGACGUCAAGUCAUCAUGGCCCUUACGACCAGGGCUACACACGUGCUACAAUGGCAUAUACAAAGAGAAGCGACCUCGCGAGAGCAAGCGGACCUCAUAAAGUAUGUCGUAGUCCGGAUUGGAGUCUGCAACUCGACUCCAUGAAGUCGGAAUCGCUAGUAAUCGUAGAUCAGAAUGCUACGGUGAAUACGUUCCCGGGCCUUGUACACACCGCCCGUCACACCAUGGGAGUGGGUUGCAAAAGAAGUAGGUAGCUUAACCUUCGGGAGGGCGCUUACCACUUUGUGAUUCAUGACUGGGGUGAAGUCGUAACAAGGUAACCGUAGGGGAACCUGCGGUUGGAUCACCUCCUUACCUUAAAGAA